GCGGGCGUGAUGGAAUGGUAGACAUACCAGACUUAAAAUCUGGAGGGCGUAUGCCCGUGCGGGUUCAAGUCCCGCCGCCCGCACCA
This 86-nucleotide transfer RNA is filed under the name Paracoccaceae bacterium. Its description in RNAcentral is "Rhodobacteraceae bacterium (marine metagenome) tRNA-Leu". It matches the Rfam family "tRNA". From Rfam's summary of the family: Transfer RNA (tRNA) molecules are approximately 80 nucleotides in length. RNAcentral also lists the same sequence under 2 other names. The record is from RNAcentral. Lineage: Bacteria; Pseudomonadati; Pseudomonadota; Alphaproteobacteria; Rhodobacterales; Paracoccaceae.